CAGAGAAUAGUUUAAAAAAAAUAUUAGUUUUGGGAAUUGAAGAUAAAGUACUUGCUUUUUCUCUGA
Molecule: transfer RNA, 66 nt
Filed under: Metopograpsus frontalis
Lineage: Eukaryota; Metazoa; Arthropoda; Malacostraca; Decapoda; Grapsidae
Description: tRNA-Pro
Source: RNAcentral